Long non-coding RNA from Cyprinus carpio (common carp), 1013 nucleotides. RefSeq lists it as uncharacterized. Lineage: Eukaryota; Metazoa; Chordata; Actinopteri; Cypriniformes; Cyprinidae. The record is from RefSeq and is a predicted model, not a curated record.
UACACUUAACAGUAAUCUUAGCCUUUCAUGUCGAUUGGCUCAGAUGUAUUUCUGGACAUUUCUGCUGCAACCUACACAUAUAAAAGGGUUUCUCAAAAUAAUAGAACCAUAUAGAUUUCGACCACCAUCAUAUAGGAUUCUGUACGGUCAAUGGCAGCCGUGAUUUCAGUUUGCGGUGUAGAGGAUGCAUUGUACAUAGGCUGUGUCUCAAAUUCUAGUGAGCAGCCUACCUAGACAACACACGUGGAAGCGUUGUGAGCAUUUGACUCGGUUGCGCCCUACUCGUCCCAAAACGCUGUCUAGGUAGGAAGCACACUAGGGUUUGAGCACAGCAUCUGUGAUGGUGAUUAUGAAGAAAGGUAGAGACGCUGCGGCUGAACAUCGGAUUUCUUCCACGACUGAGGGUCUGAUCUCUCUGUGAAGGUUUUCCAGGGAAGGGGUCUGCAGGCACUUGAAGAGGACCUUAGUGGGAACAACUGGAGCAGGGCUGGAGACCAUUCUCGUUGCACGCUGUGCACUUCAGGGCUUUGAAGGAGUCGGUGAAGCAGUUGCGAAACACAGACAUUUUGCUGCCAUGGCACAUAGGGCACGGGACAAAGGCAAAUCCCCCACACGUCUGGCACGUGUCGGAGUGCUGAACCCUCUACCAUCAGACAGAGGAACAGAGACAAGAAUUAUUUACAGUUACAAUAGUGGCGAUUUCUUAUAAAUGUAUAAAAUGUCAAUCAUACAAAAAAAGUAUGAGAUUGCAUAAAUUCAUAUGAGUUUGUGAAAAUGUACAAUUGUUUCAAAUUUGCCCCAACAUUAUGUUGAAAUUGUUGACAUUCACUAUGUUUGAGAAACCACUGUAUAGCAAAUUGUGCCUGCCAAAUGAAUAAAUGUAAUGUAAAUAAUAUUACUCACUGAUAAAUAAUGCAGUCUAUGUGUAAAGAGCUAUAAUUAACUUUAAUAAUAAACCUUUCUUGUAAAGUGGUUCUGUUUCCUUUUACAGAAUAAACUAUGAUAAUAAACCA